This 571-nucleotide ribosomal RNA is filed under the name Escherichia coli. RNAcentral describes it as "partial 23S ribosomal RNA". It matches the Rfam family "Bacterial large subunit ribosomal RNA", at positions 2377 to 2925 of the family's 2925-position model. The record is from RNAcentral. Lineage: Bacteria; Pseudomonadati; Pseudomonadota; Gammaproteobacteria; Enterobacterales; Enterobacteriaceae.
GAGCGUGACGGCGCGAGCAGGUGCGAAAGCAGGUCAUAGUGAUCCGGUGGUUCUGAAUGGAAGGGCCAUCGCUCAACGGAUAAAAGGUACUCCGGGGAUAACAGGCUGAUACCGCCCAAGAGUUCAUAUCGACGGCGGUGUUUGGCACCUCGAUGUCGGCUCAUCACAUCCUGGGGCUGAAGUAGGUCCCAAGGGUAUGGCUGUUCGCCAUUUAAAGUGGUACGCGAGCUGGGUUUAGAACGUCGUGAGACAGUUCGGUCCCUAUCUGCCGUGGGCGCUGGAGAACUGAGGGGGGCUGCUCCUAGUACGAGAGGACCGGAGUGGACGCAUCACUGGUGUUCGGGUUGUCAUGCCAAUGGCACUGCCCGGUAGCUAAAUGCGGAAGAGAUAAGUGCUGAAAGCAUCUAAGCACGAAACUUGCCCCGAGAUGAGUUCUCCCUGACUCCUUGAGAGUCCUGAAGGAACGUUGAAGACGACGACGUUGAUAGGCCGGGUGUGUAAGCGCAGCGAUGCGUUGAGCUAACCGGUACUAAUGAACCGUGAGGCUUAACCUUACAACGCCGAAGCUGUU